AAAAGUCACGCGAGCCAAUUGCCCCCAAACCCGCCAAAGAGCUCUUAUGCGGGGAAACUUCUCCAUCAAGUUCAUCAGAAGGGAAACCCAUGGAUGGGGAUUGGCACGGCCUGUGCAAUGGCAAUGGCAAUGGCAAUGGUACUGGCUGUGGCAUGGCAGCUACUCCUACGCCAAGAAAACUCCCAACCGCUCAUUUGACCUGCGGAAAUUUUGGGAUCGGGGAUUCUGGCAUUUGUGAUGGUAAAGAUGGAGCAGAAGGAGAUUAGGUUAGAGAGUGAGACCAGCUUGACUCAGAAUAUCCAAUCAAAGUGGAUUUUUGUGCAACCAACUCUAGCUUUGGAAAUACAUAGAUGGAUUUAAAGAGUAAAAUGUAAUCGAAUGAAUUAUUGAUGCCCUCGUUGCAGCUCGGGGAGGUGAAGUCGGAGAGGAUGACUAGUGUUGGAGUUGGAGGAUCUGUCAGAGCAGCCGUUGAAGUAAGUAGUGGUGAAGACGGAGUUGCUUCUGGGGAAAAUCUGCAGGACUGGACAAAGUUGCAAGAGUGUUGAUCUCGUCCUUUAUAGUUUAUUCCCAUGCUGCAGGGCCCAAUUUGGCUCGAUAUCUUCGAGCACAUGGUGGUUCAACGAGUACUCAAACUCUGGAAAKAUUCAAUCAGCAACUUUCAAGGCACUUCUGMACUGCAACCAGAGGCUCAGAUCACAAAAAUAGUCAUUAUUCAUAGGGAACAUGGAAAUUUGCAUAAAGAUAUUAUGAAGAAUCUACAAAGCAACCAAGACAGUGGAGCUUCGCACCCGGUCGAGGCGUUCGCUUCUAUGCCUACGAUGUUGAGAUUGAAGUAACGUGUCAAAUCUUUUGAUAGAUGGUACAUUUUAAAAAGUCUUAACAGUCACAAUCUUUUUCGCUAUCAAUAGGUUCUUCCUAUCUUGCUGUAGUUUUGUUUGUUUCCUGGGAAAACUUUCACAUCAUAUGAUAAAAACUUCCAUAUUUGCAUGGUCUAU
Momordica charantia (bitter melon) is the source of this 995-nucleotide non-coding RNA. NCBI's taxonomy places the organism in Eukaryota, Viridiplantae, Streptophyta, Magnoliopsida, Cucurbitales, Cucurbitaceae. The record is from RefSeq and is a predicted model, not a curated record.